GACGAACGCUGGCGGCGUGCUUAACACAUGCAAGUCGAACGGAAAGGCCCUGCUUUUGUGGGGUGCUCGAGUGGCGAACGGGUGAGUAACACGUGAGUAACCUGCCCUUGACUUUGGGAUAACUUCAGGAAACUGGGGCUAAUACCGGAUAGGAGCUCCUGCUGCAUGGUGGGGGUUGGAAAGUUUCGGCGGUUGGGGAUGGACUCGCGGCUUAUCAGCUUGUUGGUGGGGUAGUGGCUUACCAAGGCUUUGACGGGUAGCCGGCCUGGGAGGGUGACCGGCCACAUGGGGACGGAGAAACGGCCCAAACCCCUACGGGGGGCAGCAGGGGGGAAUAUUGCACAAGGGGGGGAGGCCUGAUGCAGCAACGCCGGGUGCGGGAUGACGGCCUUCGGGUGGAAAACCGCUUUCGCCUGGAACGAAGCGUGAGGGACGGUAAUGGGAAAAGAAGCACCGGCUAACUACGU
This 467-nucleotide ribosomal RNA is filed under the name uncultured bacterium. RNAcentral's name for it is "partial 16S ribosomal RNA". It matches the Rfam family "Bacterial small subunit ribosomal RNA", at positions 28 to 506 of the family's 1533-position model. The record is from RNAcentral.